Molecule: long non-coding RNA, 7046 nt
Filed under: Panax ginseng (ginseng)
Lineage: Eukaryota; Viridiplantae; Streptophyta; Magnoliopsida; Apiales; Araliaceae
Description: long non-coding RNA (PGIN_LNC002096)
Source: RNAcentral
AGAUAUCACUCUGGGUGGCCUUCUUUUUGCUGUUAUUUUUCUAUGGAGGAUCAUCAGUAGCCAUGCCAGGAGCAGCAAGAGCUACUCCGGACCUCCAGAACCUGCUGGGGCAUGGCCUUUUAUAGGUCACCUUCCUCUUCUAGGAGUAAACAGGAUAUUACAUCAAACCCUUGGAGUCAUGGCCGAUAAAUAUGGACCUAUCUUCUCUUUGCAACUAGGGAUUCACAAAACUAUUGUGGUCAGUAGCUGGGAAGUUGCUAAAGAAUGCUUUACAACCCAUGACAAAGUCUUCCCCACCCGUCCAAAAUCUCUAGCAGGAAAACUCAUGGGCUAUGACCAUUCAGUCUUUAUAUUUCUGGCUUAUGGUCCAUACUGGCGUGAUACACGUAAGCUAUUAAUAGUUGAGCUUCUAUCCAACCAUCGACUUGAUGUGCUCAAGCAUGUUCGGGAAUCAGAGGUCAAUAGUUUUGUCAGGGAGAUGUAUGAGCAGUGGAUAAGCAAUGGAGGAGGUGGAAGCAAAGCCGUGGUGGAAAUGAAAGAGAGGUUUGGAUACCUGACAAUGAACGUAAUAUUGAGGAUGGUGGCAGGCAAACGAUAUUCUGGCACUGAAGUGUAUAGCGAUGUGGAGGCGAGGAAGUUCCAAAAGGCAUUGGGGGAUUUCGUUCAUUUGGCGGGGUUGUCUAUGGUUUCUGAUGCAGUUCCCUUAUUUGGUUGGAUAGAUGCAUUGAGAGGAUACACAGGUGAGAUGAAGAAUACAGCUAAGGAGAUCGAUCAUAUACUUGGAAGGUGGCUGAAGGAGCAUCGACAGAAAAGGGAAACUCUAAGCAUCAAUGAAUCAGAGCACGACUUUAUUCAUGUUAUGCAGUCUGUCAUGGAUGGUAGCCAGUUUACCGAGCAUGACACUGAUAAAGCCAUUAAGGGCACUUGCUUGGUAAGUUCCUUGCUAUUCCAAAAUUCAUCCAUGAAAAAACCAUAAAUGAUUUAUAUAUGUAACUCCAAAAACAAACUUCUCCUUUUAUUUCCAUAACAAUGGUCAGACCUACAUAGGGUGGGUCCAUAAAUGUGUGGGUGCUUGUGUAAUUUAAUGUAGAGUAUUUUGUAGAAACAUUACAAUCACCAUAUAAAAAAAGAAUUGAUGGAUAAACUUCCAAUAAUUAAUUAUGAGCCCUUGCUGAAAGAAAAUUCUAUAUUGUCAUUGUACAUGAGGAGAUUGUUUCUACUAAUUAUGUAUCAUGUUAUGUCUGCAAACUAUAAUUUUGGAUAUUCUGCAGUAGAAGCUCACUCUGAGCAUAUUUUUGUCCGACCAUAUUGUGCUAGACCCCAAACUUGUCAGAUAAGCUAUUUUUUGUAACAUUUGAUUGUAGAGUCUUAUCUUAGGAGGCUUUGACACAACCACCGUCACACUUACGUGGGCAGUCUCUUUGCUACUUAACAACCGCCACAUUCUAAAGAAAGCCCAAGACGACUUGGACAUCCACGUUGGAAGAAACCGCCAAGUGAUAGAAUCAGAUGUGAAGAAUCUAACUUACUUGCAAGCCAUUGUCAAGGAAACAUUACGAUUGUACCCUGCUGCACCACUAUCACUGCCACACGAAGCAAUGUCAGACUGCACAUUGGCAAGCUUCCAUAUUCCAGCUGGCACGCGGCUACUAGUUAACCUCUGGAAGUUGCACCGGGACCCUAGCAUUUGGUCCGACCCUCUAGAGUUCCAUCCCGAUAGGUUCCUCCCGAAACAUGUUAAUGUGGACUUUUGGGGUCAGGAUUUUGAGCUGAUACCAUUUGGCUCAGGAAGGAGGUCAUGCCCUGGGAUCACAUUUGCAGCCCAGCUCCUGCACUUGACACUGGCUCGGUUGCUUCAUGGGUUUGAGUUGGGAACCGUCUCAGACUCACCCGUUGAUAUGAGCGAAAGUACAGGACUUACUAACCCAAAAGCAACUCCUUUGGAGAUUACCCUCAGCCCACGGCUACCUCCUCAGCUUUAUGUAUAAAACAAAAAUAUCACCUACAAGUGCAUGCUCUACACGCUGCCCUAAGCUAUCAAGGCUGUAUGUCCACGCCAGAUGUUUAAGUUACUAUUCUCCAUUCCUUGAGCAGCAAUAAUUGUAGUCUUUCUUUAUUACUAAAAAAUAAGAUGUUAUAAACUGUUCUAUGUGAUAGUGCAUGGAACAGAGUUCAUGUAAGAACAGUUUGUUUUCAUAUUAAUAAAGAGCCGCACUGUCUCUAGUUCAAGCAACUCAAGACUAAGCAAGAUUAACUUUGUCCACAUAUAUACUUUUGUGAAAAUACAUCUCAAAUAUCCGACUGGGAAAUGACAGUUGACAUACAACAUACCUUGUGGAAGAGCUUGCUUGUUGAUUAGAGAAACAUCCGUGCCUCUACUAUAUAGUUGGCAAUUCCGACUUGACUGGCUCCUAGGCGGACAAUACUUUGCGAAAAGUAAGCAAAUACAUCCUAGAAGAUAGAUCUAAAUACCAGAUAGUAUCCAAUUAAAUUGAAAAGUGACCGGGGUCUUGCCUUGCCCGCAUAUCUGCAUUAUGGGUCAAUUUGAAGAAAUACUCCAAGCAUGUUUACCUACAUGUUCAUGGCACCAACACUUGAAGAGAUUCAUUACAACUGAAUGAAAAACAAUGAAGGAAAGUAAUGAAUUGUAACUAUUAUUUCCACCCAUCUUCUUUUGAAACACAGCAUGUAACCAUACACAUUUCAGCAGUAUAGCAAUCUUCUUUUCCUUUCUCUUUUCUUGCUAUAAUCAAAUAUUGUAAAGCUGGAAGGCCCUAACAAUUUAGUAUUCAUGCAUGUGGACACUCCCUUCUCCUUUUUCUUAUCUUGGUCUUCUGAGGAGAGAGAGCCAUAGGUUUUGAGUAUGGGUAUCACUCUAACCUAUCCAGAUUUAGGAGGAAAAAAAAUAUCAUAUCCAUUGUCGUUAUCAGCUAGAUCUAUAAAAAUUGAACGCUGAGUAAAUAACAAGAAGUCAAGGGGAAAAUAUGUCCACUUUUGAAUGAAGAAAAAAUUACAAAAUUACAGGGCAUACCCAAUCCUCCUCCAUAAUUCCACAGUCCUCUUGCAAGUUGCAAUGGGAAAAUGAAGGAAGAGAUGCCCGUUAAACUCAAAGACUCAGACUGCCACCCAUAACUUUCGUUGGACCAGUUUCAGUGAAAAACUACAGUUAAAUGAAAGCAAUUAAUAAAGUUGAUAGAAACUGACACCAACUUGUUAAUAAACACACACGAAACCAAGGUCAUCGAUAGCAAUUUAGAGUACGUGGAUUGGACUUUUCCCAUCUAAGUUUUCUUUAUGAUAUGGCUAUAUUUUCUUAUCGUAGACUUUUGGGGCAAGAGAAGCAUUAUAUUCCCUUCAACUGGAUAGCUCAGAACAUAACAAUAAGUCGGGGGGAGAAUCUGUCCUUUUCUGGAGACAUUCUUAUAUGUCUGCCUAACUUUGGAUUCAUUGUUUUCUGUAUACGUACGAGCCAACCCACUGUUUCAGUGAAAUUAAUAAUUAAUAGAUAAACGAUAACAAGAAAGAGUAAUAUAGGGGCCGAAGAGUGAUCUCUAGUUUACGAAAUGGCUCUCUACAUUCAGCUGAAAGACAUAACAGUAAUGUGUGGCCUUUUUUUGUUGGGAAAAGUACGCCACAAAUAAUCUAUAUCCCAGGAAUUAUUUUUCUGUUUUUGUGCAAUAAAAUAUAAAAUCAACAAAACCAAUUAUGAGAACAAAAAUAACAAAUAACCAUCCACAAGCAAGACACCAAAUUUACGUGAAAAACCCUCUAAAAUUAAGAAGUAAAAACCACGGGUCAAACUCCGAAUCUCCACUAUAUCACUAAUAAUGGGCUUACAAUAAUCCUCUCAAGUUUUAUGCCCUAAAACUUGAGGUUACACAAUAAAUUGAGAUAAUACAAAUUUACAUUUAAUUAAGUUGAGAAACCUAAUUAAUUUCACCACCAAAAAACACCCCAAGCAAUAAAGUCUUCAAGUUUUCAAUUGAACGGAGAUGAUGUCGGAUAUCUACGAACAACAAACAGUAAUUCUCUCAAUUUAUUCUUUUGGUAUCUUCUUACCACCAAGCUUCUCUAUCUCAUGUAUCAAAUAAGACUCCCUCAUAGCCUUAUUUAUAGUACUCUUCUUAAUCCAUUCCUAUUAUGGAUUAGAAACAAUUUAUUCUCUUAAUCAAAUUAAGGAUCACAUCUCCUUGUCUUGGUCACCAACCACUCUAAUAAGUAAAUCCUUUUUCAACUUGGAUUCCUUUCAUGUAAUCUCCAAUUCCAAUAUUGCUUCCAUUAACCCAAUUUCUAAUUGGAUUAAUAUCAAGUAUAUAAACCCAUUCUUUUCUAUCUUGGAUUCUAUCUCAUGGGUGAGGACCCACACCCAACAAUCUCCCCCUCCGAACCCAUGAGAGGAGGGAUCACCAACCACAACUCCUUACUCGGAGUUAAUUCCAACGAAGUCUUGGCUCAACUCAAUCUUCUUGGAAUUUUCAAAUAUCUUCAUGUCCGGCUUUGUCUCAUCGGCAUGGUUCUUCUCAAUGGGAGGAUCUAACUCAAACUUGACAGAUUUUUGCUUGCCAAAUUCAUUCACAACCGCUUUGUACCCUGGCUGCGAGCUAUCACUUUCCUUCUUCACUUUUGGUACCCAUUUAAAGCGAAGAGCUUUCUUUUUGUGGUUCUCAUGCAAGGCUUUCCUCCCAUCUCGCACGGCUUUGUACCACACCUUUUUCUGCCUAACUCCCCCAUCUUCAACACCUCUCACAUGCGCCCGCAUCGUAUAAAGAGUGUCUACCUUCUUACCUCUAGUGACCACUAGAGACCCUUUGGUGAGCUUCCAUUGACCUUCACCAAAGUAACUUUUAUAACCAUUCUCAUCAAGCUUACCAGCAGAGAUCAAAUUAAAACGAAUAUCUGGAACAUGUCUGACUUCUCUCAGCAUCAACUUGCAACCACUGUUAGUUUCCAAACAAAUAUCUCCAAUGCCUAUAAUCUUGGAUGCACUUCCGUUUCCCAUCCGCACAUGGCCAAAAUCACCACUACUGUAGGAUGUGAAGAUUUCACCACGCGAAGUAGCAUGGAACGAAGCACCCGAAUCAAUAAUCCAAUCAUUAACAUGACACUUGGGUUUAUCAUCACAAACAAUAGCUACAUCAACGUCGGAUAGAUACACAAUCGAAUCUUUAUCCUCAUCUUUUUCCUUAGACUGCUCCUUCUUUAAAAAUCUGCACUCUCGUCUUAUGUGACCCGGCUUCUGGCAGUGAAAGCAAAUUACUUCUUUUCUAUCUCUUGACCUUCCCCUGAAUUUGUCAUCUUCAGGAGAGUUUCUCCCUUUGUUUUUGCCCCUACUCUGUGCGACAAAAACUUGUGACUCAGCGCUAAUCACCAUAGUAUCUCUUCGCCUCUGUUCCUCGUUAAACAAACUAUCCUUAACUGUAUCCAUAGUUAGCUUGCCAUUAGGAGCGGAGUUACUCAACGAUACAACUAGCGUCUCCCAGCUAUCAGGCAAAGAGCUCAACAACAACAAAGCCUGCAUCUCAUUGUCAAUUACCAUAUUCAUCGUACUCAACUGAUUUAUCAAACUCUGAAAAUCACUCAAGUGUUCUGCAACGGAGUUUCCAUCCUUGAAUUUAGAAUUCACAAGCUUCCUAAUCAAAAAAGCUUUAUUUUGCGCCGACUUCCUUUCAUACAUGGACUCCAAUUUCUGCCAGAGAGCAUAGGCUUUAGUUUCUGUGGCAACAUGAUGAAACACACUUUGAUCAAUCCACGAUCUGAUCAGACCAAUAGUCUUCCUGUUCAUCUUGUUCCACUGCUCGUCACUCUUGUUUGUGGGCUUAACUCCAUCGUUCUCAAGUGACUCGUAUAAAUCCUUGCAGUAAAGCAAAUCCUCCAUUCUUGGCUUCCAAAUUGCAUAAUUUGUAGCCUUGAGAUUAAUCAUGCAACCUGCUGUCCAAUCCCCCAUUUAAUUCGCACAAGAAAACCACAAAAAAUAACCAAGCUCUGAUAUCACUGUUGGGAAAAGUACGCCACAAAUAAUCUAUAUCCCAGGAAUUACUUUUCCGUCUUUGUGCAAUUAAAUAUGAAAUCAACAAAACCAAUUUUGAGAACAAAAAUAACAAAUAACCAUCCACAAGCAAGACACCAAAUUUACGUGGAAAACCCUCUAAAACUAAGAGGUAAAAACCACGGGUCAAACUCCGAAUCUCCACUAUAUCACUAAUAAUGGGCUUACAAUAAUCCUCUCAAGUUUUAUGCCCUAAAACUUGAGGUUACACAAUAAAUUGAGAUAAUACAAAUUUACAUUUAAUUAAGUUGAGAAACCUAAUUAACUUCACCACCAAGAAACUCCCCAAGCAAUAAAGUCUUCAAGCUUUCAAUUGAACGGAGAUGAUGGCGGAUAUCCACGAACGACAAACAGUAAUUCUCUCAAUUUAUUCUUUUGGUAUUUUCUUACCACCAAGCUUCUCUAUCUCAUGUAUCAAAUAAAACUCCCUCAUAGCCUUAUUUAUAGUACUCUUCUUAAUCCAUUCCUAUUAUGGAUUAGAAACAAUUUAUUCUCCUAAUCAAAUUAGGGAUCACAUCUCCUUGUCUUUGUCACCAACCACUCUAACAAGUAAAUCAUUUUUCAACUUGGAUUCCUUUCAUGUAAUUUCCAAUUCCAAUAUUGCUUCCAUUAACCCAAUUUCUAAUUGGAUUAAUAUCAAGUAUAUAAACCCAUUCUUUUCUAUCUUGAAUUCUAUCUCAUGGGUGAGGACCCACACCCAACAUUUUUUUGGUGUUAUUUUUUUAUGGAGGAUCAUCAGUGCCCAUGCCAAAGGCAAAAAGAGGGAUUGCAGACCUCCAGAACCUGCUGGGGCUUGGCCUUUUAUCGGUCACCUUCAUCUUCUAGGAGCAAACAAGAUAUUACAUCAUAUCCUUGGAGCCAUGGCUGAUAAAUACGGACCUAUCUUCUCUUUGCAACUAGGGAUUCACACAACUCUUGUGGUUAGCAGCUGGGAAGUUGCAAAAGAAUGCUUUACAACCCAUGACAAAGUCUUCCCCACCCGUCCAAAAUCGUUAGCAGC